UUCUUGGAAUGAUACUACGGAAUCACGCUAGGCUAGCUUUGCACAGGAAUGUCAAGGUUGCAUUUUCAAAACUAUGGAACGGUUGGAAUAGGAGAACCCAUGGGAAUUCGAGUACUUAGCGACGUUCUUUUUCUAGAAGUCCUAGCUUAUUUGCUUCCGCUGUGCAAUGAAGAUACCGGUCCAGUCACGCCAGCUCUGAUUAUUUCGGGGUGUGACAGA
This is a long non-coding RNA of Helianthus annuus (common sunflower), 219 nucleotides long. RefSeq lists it as uncharacterized. The record is from RefSeq and is a predicted model, not a curated record. Lineage: Eukaryota; Viridiplantae; Streptophyta; Magnoliopsida; Asterales; Asteraceae. The transcript is spliced from 2 exons.